This 318-nucleotide unclassified non-coding RNA is filed under the name Hevea brasiliensis (rubber tree). The record is from RNAcentral. Lineage: Eukaryota; Viridiplantae; Streptophyta; Magnoliopsida; Malpighiales; Euphorbiaceae.
AAAUUAUUUUGUUGACGGUUUACUGUUCUCCUGUCCUGAUGGGAGGGCAAGACUGGAAAGCCAAGCAAUUUUCACUUUUCAGGGAAAUGAAACAAUGAACAGUGAAAAUUGCUUGACUUUUUAAUAUAUUGUUUAGAUAUAGAUAGAUUUUGUCCUUUUUAUUUGUCUCUCUUGCUGCAGACUCUUCAAAUUCCUUUCUCAAAAUCCUUUCUUUUUAUCAAAAUUAACCAAAAUAAAUGUGAUGUUCUCCGAUUCUCUUCUUUUCAUUUCUCUAUUAUCACUUCUUUAUUCAAUUGCUUUUGCAAACUAAUAAGAAGA